UAUAAGCUCCGAGUUUUUACUCAUUAAUGAGUGAAAAACAAGUUGAACUUUUUAACAAAUGAUUGUUGCGCCUGUCGUCGUCGGCUUUCGGUGUCAAAAAACAAAGCAAAAUAAUGUUGCUUCCGGCGAGGCUCCCGGUACCGCGCAUCAACUGACUUCGCGAAUCAGCCUUUGUUGGGGACGAUCCAAUACAUCAAUCCAUCAUUCCUGCAACACCAUCAUCAAAACUUCUUCGAAAUCUACGAGUUCCUUCGGAAGCUGGGAAAACGUUUGGCAGCUGAUUGAUACGAAUCGGUGGUAAAAGGUGUGACACAGCAGGUGAUCAACACGCUGAAUUUCGUUCCCCGUGGCGGGGCGGAUAAAUGGCAAUGAGAGCUCGAUCGGAAUUUACUAAUAAAAGCUUAGGGAGCUCCAAGCCGGAUCUUCAACAAAGAAGUUGGCAAAAGGAUUCGAGGAACAUCCGAUGAACGUACUGGAUCAAAAAGGAGCGACACUCUGUCGACUCUGGCAAUCGACGAUAUGAAAUCGGCAAAUCCUCCCUUUUGUGAGAUUCAACGGAUGGGGACCGUCUGUCUUCCCUAUUACGCAUACUAGGAA
Armigeres subalbatus is the source of this 597-nucleotide long non-coding RNA. RefSeq lists it as uncharacterized. The transcript has 3 exons. Lineage: Eukaryota; Metazoa; Arthropoda; Insecta; Diptera; Culicidae. The record is from RefSeq and is a predicted model, not a curated record.